CAGGGGAUAGUUUAUUUAAAAUGUUAAUUUUGGAGAUUAAUGAAGGAGUUAGGAUAACUUUUUCUCUGA
RNAcentral lists this transfer RNA (69 nucleotides) under Byrsotria cabrerai. RNAcentral describes it as "tRNA-Pro". The record is from RNAcentral. Lineage: Eukaryota; Metazoa; Arthropoda; Insecta; Blattodea; Blaberidae.